Molecule: ribosomal RNA, 253 nt
Filed under: uncultured bacterium
Lineage: Bacteria
Description: partial 16S ribosomal RNA
Rfam family: Bacterial small subunit ribosomal RNA
Source: RNAcentral
UACAGAGGUCCCGAGCGUUGUUUGGAUUCAUUGGGCGUAAAGGGUGCGUAGGCGGCCUGUUAAGUUUGAUGUGAAAUCCCGGGGCUCAACCCUGGAAUUGCAUUGAAUACUGGCAGGCUAGAGUACCGGAGAGGAAACUGGAAUUUACGGUGUAGCAGUGAAAUGCGUAGAGAUCGUAAGGAAGACCAGUGGCGAAGGCGAGUUUCUGGACGGUAACUGACGCUGAGGCACGAAGGCCAGGGGAGCAAACGGG